RNAcentral lists this transfer RNA (87 nucleotides) under Halomonas sp. RNAcentral describes it as "tRNA-Leu". It matches the Rfam family "tRNA". From Rfam's summary of the family: Transfer RNA (tRNA) molecules are approximately 80 nucleotides in length. Their secondary structure includes four short double-helical elements and three loops (D, anti-codon, and T loops). The record is from RNAcentral. Lineage: Bacteria; Pseudomonadati; Pseudomonadota; Gammaproteobacteria; Oceanospirillales; Halomonadaceae.
GCCCAGAUGGCGGAAUUGGUAGACGCGCUAGCUUCAGGUGCUAGUGACCAUAUGGUCGUGGAGGUUCAAGUCCUCUUCUGGGCACCA